AACGUUUCGAAAGGAACGCUAAUACCGCAUACGUCCUACGGAGAAAGCAGGGACCUUCGGGCCUUGCGCUAUCAGAUGAGCCUAGGUCGGAUUAGCUAGUUGGUGAGGUAAUGGCUCACCAAGGCGACGAUCCGUAACUGGUCUGAGAGGAUGAUCAGUCACACUGGAACUGAGACACGGUCCAGACUCCUACGGGAGGCAGCAGUU
This 207-nucleotide ribosomal RNA is filed under the name uncultured Pseudomonas sp. RNAcentral's name for it is "partial 16S ribosomal RNA". It matches the Rfam family "Bacterial small subunit ribosomal RNA", at positions 145 to 355 of the family's 1533-position model. The record is from RNAcentral. Lineage: Bacteria; Pseudomonadati; Pseudomonadota; Gammaproteobacteria; Pseudomonadales; Pseudomonadaceae.